RNAcentral lists this ribosomal RNA (811 nucleotides) under Stachybotrys chartarum. RNAcentral's name for it is "eukaryotic LSU rRNA". It matches the Rfam family "Eukaryotic large subunit ribosomal RNA", at positions 69 to 915 of the family's 3401-position model. Lineage: Eukaryota; Fungi; Ascomycota; Sordariomycetes; Hypocreales; Stachybotryaceae. The record is from RNAcentral.
CAGGGAUUGCCUUAGUAACGGCGAGUGAAGCGGCAACAGCUCAAAUUUGAAAUCUGGCCCCAGGCCCGAGUUGUAAUUUGCAGAGGAUGCUUUUGGCGCGGUGCCUUCCGAGUUCCCUGGAACGGGACGCCAUAGAGGGUGAGAGCCCCGUCUGGUUGGAUACCAAGCCUUUGUAAAGCUCCUUCGACGAGUCGAGUAGUUUGGGAAUGCUGCUCUAAAUGGGAGGUAUAUGUCUUCUAAAGCUAAAUACCGGCCAGAGACCGAUAGCGCACAAGUAGAGUGAUCGAAAGAUGAAAAGCACUUUGGAAAGAGAGUUAAACAGCACGUGAAAUUGUUAAAAGGGAAGCGUUUAUGACCAGACUUGGGCCGGUUAAUCAUCCAGCGUUCUCGCUGGUGCACUUUGCCGGUCCAGGCCAGCAUCAGUUCGCUGCGGGGGAUAAAGGCGUCGGGAAUGUGGCUCCUCUGGAGUGUUAUAGCCCUUCGCGCAAUACCCUGCGGUGGACUGAGGUUCGCGCAUCUGCAAGGAUGCUGGCGUAAUGGUCAUCAACGACCCGUCUUGAAACACGGACCAAGGAGUCGUCUUCGUAUGCGAGUGUUCGGGUGUAAAACCCCUACGCGUAAUGAAAGUGAACGCAGGUGAGAGCUUCGGCGCAUCAUCGACCGAUCCUGAUGUUCUCGGAUGGAUUUGAGUAAGAGCAUACGGGGCCGGACCCGAAAGAAGGUGAACUAUGCCUGUAUAGGGUGAAGCCAGAGGAAACUCUGGUGGAGGCUCGCAGCGGUUCUGACGUGCAAAUCGAUCGUCAAAUAUGGG